AUGUUUAAUCACAGUCAGAGAGCCGCUCAUAAACACCUACCAUGGCGGCAGAGGAACCCAAAGAGGACGAGAAGGGUCUGGCUGCAGACCAUGGGCGAGUGGAGCUCCACUCUCAAACCGGAAAUACGUCACCUCCACUUGAAAACAUCAAGAUGGCGUCGCCGGGAGUACUUCAAACUUAAACUCAGCCCAGCAAUCAGAUGCAUCAGAACAACAAAGCACAACUGUGGUGCCCCAGGCACCUUCAGCAACAAAGAUUUAACAACACUGUCAGUCAGGAGCAUAUUUAACAGGAGGCACACUUCAGCUGGCUUGAUGGUGACUUCAGUGCAGUGA
Molecule: long non-coding RNA, 336 nt
Filed under: Carassius auratus (goldfish)
Lineage: Eukaryota; Metazoa; Chordata; Actinopteri; Cypriniformes; Cyprinidae
Description: lncRNA (ENSCARG00000020724.1)
Source: RNAcentral